Molecule: ribosomal RNA, 468 nt
Filed under: uncultured bacterium
Lineage: Bacteria
Description: partial 16S ribosomal RNA
Rfam family: Bacterial small subunit ribosomal RNA
Source: RNAcentral
GAUGAACGCUGGCGGCGUGCUUAACACAUGCAAGUCGAACGGAAAAGCCCUGCUUUUUUGCUGUGCUCGAGUGGCGAACGUGUGAGUAUCACGUGAGUAACCGGCACUUGUCUUUGGGAUACCUUCAGGAAACGGGGGCUAAUACCGGACAGGAGCUCAUCCUGCAUUGGGGGCGGUGGAACGUUUCGGCGGUUGGGGAUGGACUCGCGGCUUAUGAGCGUGUUGGUGGGGUAGUGGCUGACCAAGGCUUUGCCGGGUAGCCGACCUGAGAGGCUUGCCGGCCACAUUGGGACUGAGCUACGGCCCAGACUGCAACGGGAGGCAAGGGUGGGGAGCAUUACACAACGAGAGGAAGCCUGAUGAAGCGACGCCGCGGGCGGUAAGCCGGCCUGUGGGUUGAAAACAGCAGCCGGCUGAGACGAAGCGUUAGUGACGGUAAUGGGUAAAGAAGCACCGGCUAACUACGUG